This is a non-coding RNA of Podarcis lilfordi (Lilford's wall lizard), 72 nucleotides long. The record is from the annotation of a GenBank genome assembly. NCBI's taxonomy places the organism in Eukaryota, Metazoa, Chordata, Lepidosauria, Squamata, Lacertidae.
AGGGCUGUGGCUCCGUGGCAGAGCAUCUGAUUCAUGUUCAGAAGGUCCCAGGUUCAGUCCCCAGCAUCUUCA